Molecule: ribosomal RNA, 465 nt
Filed under: uncultured bacterium
Lineage: Bacteria
Description: partial 16S ribosomal RNA
Rfam family: Bacterial small subunit ribosomal RNA
Source: RNAcentral
CCUACGGGUGGCAGCAGUAGGGAAUAUUCCACAAUGGGCGAAAGCCUGAUGGAGCAACGCCGCGUGGGUGAAGAAGGUCUUCGGAUCGUAAAACCCUGUUGUUAGAGAAGAAAGUGCGUGAGAGUAACUGUUCACGUUUCGACGGUAUCUAACAAGACAGCCACGGCUAACUACGUGCCAGCAGCCGCGGUAAUACGUAGGUGGCAAGCGUUAUCCGGAUUUAUUGGGCGUAAAGGAAACGCAGGCGGUAGUUUAAGUCUGAUGUGAAAGUCUUCGGCUUAACCGGAGUAGUGCAUUGGAAACUGGGAGACGUGAGUGCAGAAGAGGAGAGUGGAACUCCAUGUGUAGCGGUGAAAUGCGUAGAUAUAUGGAAGAACACCAGUGGCGAAGGCAGCUCUCUGGUCUGUAACUGACGCUGAUGUUCGAAAGCGGGGGUAUCAAACAGGAUUAGAUACCCCUGUAGUC